Molecule: ribosomal RNA, 253 nt
Filed under: uncultured bacterium
Lineage: Bacteria
Description: partial 16S ribosomal RNA
Rfam family: Bacterial small subunit ribosomal RNA
Source: RNAcentral
UACGUAGGGCGCAAGCGUUGUCCGGAAUUAUUGGGCGUAAAGAGCUCGUAGGCGGCUUGUCACGUCGGGUGUGAAAGCCCGGGGCUUAACCCCGGGUCUGCAUUCGAUACGGGCUAGCUAGAGUGUGGUAGGGGAGAUCGGAAUUCCUGGUGUAGCGGUGAAAUGCGCAGAUAUCAGGAGGAACACCGGUGGCGAAGGCGGAUCUCUGGGCCAUUACUGACGCUGAGGAGCGAAAGCGUGAGGAGCGAACAGG